ACGGAGGAUCCGAGCGUUAUCCGGAUUUAUUGGGUUUAAAGGGAGCGUAGAUGGAUGUUUAAGUCAGUUGUGAAAGUUUGCGGCUCAACCGUAAAAUUGCAGUUGAUACUGGAUAUCUUGAGUGCAGUUGAGGCAGGCGGAAUUCGUGGUGUAGCGGUGAAAUGCUUAGAUAUCACGAGGAACUCCGAUUGCGAAGGCAGCCUGCUAAGCUGCAACUGACAUUGAGGCUCGAAAGUGUGGGUAUCAAACAG
Molecule: ribosomal RNA, 251 nt
Filed under: uncultured bacterium
Lineage: Bacteria
Description: partial 16S ribosomal RNA
Rfam family: Bacterial small subunit ribosomal RNA
Source: RNAcentral